This 486-nucleotide ribosomal RNA is filed under the name uncultured bacterium. Its description in RNAcentral is "partial 16S ribosomal RNA". It matches the Rfam family "Bacterial small subunit ribosomal RNA", at positions 28 to 507 of the family's 1533-position model. The record is from RNAcentral.
GAUGAACGCUAGCGGCAGGCUUAACACAUGCAAGUCGAGGGGCAGCGCGGGAUCGCAAUAUCCUGGCGGCGACCGGCGGAAGGGUGCGUAACGCGUGAGCGACAUGCCCGUUGCCCGGGGACAACCGGUGGAAACGCCGACUAAUCCCCGAUGGGAUAUUGUGCCGCAUGGCACGAUAUUGAAAGUUACGGCGGCGACGGAUUGGCUCGCGUCCGAUUAGCUUGUUGGCGGGGUAACGGCCCACCAAGGCUGCGAUCGGUAGGGGUUCUGAGAGGAAGGCCCCCCACAAGGGGACUGAGACACGGCCCAUACUCCUACGGGAGGCAGCAGUGAGGAAUAUUGGACAAUGGGCGGAAGCCUGAACCAGCCAUGCCGCGUGCGGGAAGGAGGCCCUAUGGGCUGUGAACCGCUUUUGCCUGGGGGCAAUAAGGGCGUCGCGCACGUCCGAUGAGAGUACCAGGCGAAUAAGCAUCGGCUAACUCCGUG